UGCGUAGGCGGUUUACUAAGUCAGAUGUGAAAGCCCCGGGCUUAACCUGGGAACUGCAUUUGAUACUGGUAGGCUAGAGUAUGAUAGAGGGGGGUAGAAUUCCUGGUGUAGCGGUGAAAUGCGUAGAUAUCAGGAGGAAUACCAGUGGCGAAGGCGGCCCCCUGGAUCAAUACUGACGCUGAGGUACGAAAGCGUGGGCAGCGAACA
Molecule: ribosomal RNA, 207 nt
Filed under: uncultured bacterium
Lineage: Bacteria
Description: partial 16S ribosomal RNA
Rfam family: Bacterial small subunit ribosomal RNA
Source: RNAcentral